Molecule: long non-coding RNA, 32589 nt
Filed under: Coffea arabica (coffee)
Lineage: Eukaryota; Viridiplantae; Streptophyta; Magnoliopsida; Gentianales; Rubiaceae
Description: long non-coding RNA (CARA_LNC007458)
Source: RNAcentral
UCAUCAGUUCCCUUAGCCUUUUCUUCAGUAAACAUAACCGAUGCAGUUGCUUUUUCAAGUCCCUUUGGCUUGGCAUUAAGUUUGAACACGAGAUAUGUCGAAUAGGAACUGCCCCUUGGGAGGUCCCUAGCAGGCACACUGGUUCGAAUGUCAAACCAGCAAACUUCAACAAGCUCGGCAACCUCGAAGCUGUACAAAGGCAUUAGAAUCAGUUUAGGAUAAUCUUCGAAAGUCAUCAACUAACUAAAGGGAGAAAGUGAGAUAAUAAUAUAAAUGCAAUAGGACUAUAUACAGGACGGGUAUGUGUGAAGUAAGUUCAGGAGGUUUACCCAGAAGGUACAUCAGUGUACCACUUCCAAUAGCGUGUAUCAUUACCGUGAUAAAUCACUAGAUCCCUCGCGUUGAUGGUGUAAGCCUGUGAUGGAAAAUUGAGCAUCGACAAGUUAAUUAAUCUUUAAAGUCAAAAUAACAAAAGACUGAUGAGUAGUUCUCGCAUUGAUACAAACUAAUAACGACUGUUAUAGCUAGUUAUAUACCAUGUUGAAUAGAUGCAGCUCUGGAGUAGUGUUGGAAGGACUGUACGUUUUGUGGAAUGAGGGAUUGAAGAUUGCGGGAAUGGAUAUUUAUAGGCCUAUCUGAUUAACUGACGUUUGCAGAUAUUUCCAAUCUUACCUCAUCAGAGAUGUGUAAAAACGUGUUUCGUGCUGGUGUGAAGGUCAGAUGCUGAUGUGAAUGAGGGUGGCCUUUCACAAAACCACAAAUAUGAGUAUAUGACCAAGUACUAAGCUAUACGCUCCGCCACUUGAAAGUGUAUCCAACCAACCUUAGUGUCAACUGUCAUAUAUCUUUAGCAUAGUCAGCUGUAUCAAUAUACACUAUUCUUUUCCUAAUGAAUUCACCUUUCUCUUUGUAGCGCUGAAUACAUUUGGCUAAUUCUCGUUUUGAUAUUUCACCUGAUUAUAAAUUAUGAUUUUAAAUAAUGUGUUUUUCUUGUGUUCUAGUUUUCUUUUUUGUCUAGAUCUUGGAUUUUCACAAUUGGAAAAAGCUACGAUCUUGAAUCUACCAAAGAUCAAACAGCUCUAUCCGAAUCCAAUUAUUCUCUGCCAUCUCUUUCUACGGGCAAUUUUUGUAAAAACCAUAGCGAAUGCUUAUGGGAAAGUCUUCUUUGCAUGUCUAAAGAUUAGAUGAUAAAAUGAAAAUGGUAGAGCUGGUAAAUGGCACAAUUGGCAAUGUAAAAGAAGGAUAGAGCUUGCAUCGUAGGAAAAACAUGGGAUUUGUACCAUGGAAACUAUAACAGUUCGAUUUUUUUUCUCCCACAGUUGUUCAAAAAAUUUAGCAUAAUUUGUAUGAUUGAAGAAAACAAAAGAUUUAAAGAGGCAAACAAAGAAAAGGAUUGAAGAUUGCCAAGGAAAAGGAAUUAUUUGAAGAGUCUUAACGAUACCAUUAAGGAUAAAUUUAAGGUUACCGAGCAGGUGUAAUCGUGUUUUGUCCAAUUUUAUUUGUACGGUAUAAAUCAUACAAAAUUUAAUGUAAACUUACAUGACUUUCGUGUAGUUAUUGGUGCCGUUGAUGUAUGUAGAUUAGCUCUAUAGCACAUACAUGAAAUCUUGUAAUAAAUAUACAAAAUAGAGUCUUAUAACAAAUAUACAAAAUCUUGUAAGAAUUACGCUAACGGGAUAAAAUUGAAUAAAGCUUAACUAUACUUGUACCCUUGCAAAAUUUUUAUGUUGUGUGAACGCACUUGGUUGGUUUGACCUGCUGGCAAAUACCUAAAUGAACUCUUGUCGACGAAAAACCUUUCCAACACCUCUAGUUGUUACUAGAUACUACACUAUGACCAUCACUUGUGGAAAAGUUGGGAGGGAAUUUUUUUUUUUUUUUUUGGUCAAGGUCAAGAAUUAACAAAAGGCCUUUAUGGGAUAGAAGAAUCAUUUUACGUCCAAAACGGGACACAUAAAAGUCUAUCAAGACCAAGACUUAUAAAAAAGACGUACACUAUACUGUACACUUACAAUACAUAUUUCAAAAAUAAAUUAAUUAGUUAAAUACUUGCUAAAUCAAGCAAUUUUGUCAAGACCAACAUUGUAAACAGCUGUAGACUAGUAGUAAUAUGAACAUCAAACUUAAAAGUUUUGAAAUUUCACAAGAUGCGACAAGUGAAAAUUGUGCAAAGUGACAUGAAAGCAAGAUUCUAGAUCAAAAUAGUUGUUACUUAAUUUGAAUUCGCAGAUUCAUUCAUCCAAAAAAAAAAUUUCACAGAUUCAAAUAGAAAAUCUGAAUGAUAAAAAGACAAUAACAUAAAUUAGCCAAAAUCACUUGUGCAAAUCUCACUGUUCAUUCAAAAAAACUUACUAUUAUAUUUGCGAAGUUCACCUUGUCUUUCCUAGUUGUUACCACUUAUUUGGCAAAUCAUAUUCAUUUUCCGAACAAACUUUCUACUUCAUUAGCUAAGCACUGCAAUUCAGUUUGGUAAACCCUACUACUUUUCCAACAAAUGAGAUUCAAAAUUUGGAAACUAAAUUUUAUUUUUUUAUCAUCUCCAAACAAUUUAGUAUUAGUUCAUACAAAUUUUGGUCAAUUUCGAAGAAUUGUCAUAACUUGAUAGAAAAUCAAACAAGUAAUUCUAAGAUGUAAUAUUACAAUUUCUUUUAAAAUAGGAUUAUAUAUCAUUUGGUAGUCACCGUGAUCUCCCGUUGACAUUCGAUGCAUUUUUACGGCCUUUCUUAGGCAUUGAAAUUAAGUGGGGUUGGCACCUAAAAUCUAAAAGAGCCUAGUCAACAAGGUUGAAAACAAACAGUUCAUUACAAUGAGAAUAAAAAACUCCAAACCACACAACGAGCAGAUGUUGCUUUGGAGUUUUGGAGGGACUAUUUCGUUGAAAGAGGAUUGAAGAUCGAGGAAAUGGGUAAUUAAGUGGCCUUUGAGGAUAUUUCCACAGUGCCCUCAUCAUGGACAUGCAAAAACGUGUUCCACGUUGGUCCUUCUCACUCUUUUACCCGUAUUAAGAUAAACGUAAGCCUUGGAAAAAUUCACACCGUUGUUGCAAUGACAUUAGGUACCAGCCAUAGUAGUAGCUCCGACAAUGACAUUAGGCAACAUUAAUUGCUCAAUAUGCGUGAAUGCAAUGUUAAGUUAAAACUUAGGGGUCCGUUUGGAUUAGCUGUUUUUGGGGUUGUUUUUCAAAAACAACACUGUAGCAUUUCGUUUCAAAAACAACACUGUAGAUUUUAGUUAUGACUACACUGAACUGCAAAACCAUUAUCAGGUCACAGCGUUGCCACUCCAAUUAUACCCAAAAGAUCAUCACGGUAACUUGCAAUCAAACACACCAAUCGCGGAAUAUUUUGGACCAUAAUGCACACUUCUAGAUCCAAAACAUUGAUAGAUUACAAGUAUGAUAAGCUUAUUUGUUACCUACACAUGCGACUAUUACUAGGAGAAUAAGAAAUUCCAAAGGCCCAUUGAUCAAGGAAGUUCGUGUACAUAUAUCGCCAUGAAUCUUGUGGAAUGACAUAUUUCCAGUAUACACAACACAUCCGACUAGUUAGUUGAAUAUAUCAAAUAUUAAUUAAAUAGCAUGAUUUAGUUAAUGAAAUAUUAAUCAUAACACAAAAUUCAUGGACUAAUGGCAGUCAAUUAACUAACGAUGUAUACUUCAUGCAUGAUGGAUUAUUUCUUGUUUAAACAAUAGUAGAUUGGUGCGACAGGAACUCCAUCUAACAAAAUCAGGCUAAAAGAUAAGAAAAUAGGAAGGAUAGUAAGAUUGAUAGAUAUAGAUUAAUAAAGCCAGGGAAUAUUUUUUUUACUAGGAAAAGCUCUAACAUUAAUGGCUACGCAUAUAUCUUUUACAUGAUUAAUACAUCUCUUUAUCAACUUUCCCCAACUAAUCUGAUAGAGUAAAAAAAUAAAAAAAGGAAAAACACAUGUUCCAAAUCAAUUUUCCAUCCAGCUGGAUGGCCAGAAAGUGGAAAGUUCGUUGAGGGAAAAAUCAAGGUUGAACUUUAUAUAAAUUUGGCAUCAAAUUAUCAUCCUAAUUUGACAUAUAUAUUCACAGUUGUAAAGCUAAAAGAAUUUCAACCGAGAAGCAGUAAAAAUUAAAAACACAUAGAUAAUAACAAUAUAAAACCAAAAAAAGAUUUAAAUUUAAAUGCCACAAGAAGGAAAAAGAAAUCUAAAUUAACUAGCACUAAGGCAAAAAAAAUGCCGAUAAAAACCUCCAAAAAGGAAAAAAAAAUUGUUGAACCAACCAAAGUCCCAAAUUUGGUAAAACAAAAAUGAGUUCUCUACCACCUUACCCACAUGUUGAUUCGAGAUUAGAUUGCAGGUUGUGGACUUGUAAGGCUCCGGAGUUUUAGAUUUGGAGCUUGAAGCAUGAAAAAGAAUAUGAAGGUCCUAAAGGAAGAGAUGGGAGUAAGGGUGUGUCACACCCUAUUUUUUGAAAAUAAAAGAGAAAGGUGUUAGAAAAAUGAGUUUUUGAUUUUAGAAAAUAAAGAAAAAGGGCCUAAAAUGGGAUUUUAAAUAAUGCGAUGGUUUGGGCCCAAAAUAUUAGUCUAAAAAGAGUUUUAAAAAGAAAGUCGCUACUUGGUAUUGAGUUUAGAUAUACCAAGGCAAAAAAUUGAUUGACUCAAAUUUAAGGCGCCCUUUUAACCUAGUCGAGACUAGUUGCGAGAUUUAGUCAAAAAUUUUCCUAAUUCUAACCUAUAAAACUUAUUACAUUUGGAUGUUUAUAUAUGGAUGUAAACCUAGAUCUAAGGGGUAUCGAGAGGGAUGAGAUGUCUCUUCAAAGUUUAACUGGUAUAAAUUACAUUAAUUGUGAAGCCCAAAAAUGAUCCCUUGAAGAGGUCACGGAUAUGCAAAAGAUAAGACUCAAGAAAGAAAUUAUGAUAUAAAUAUACAAGACCUAGAAGAGGGGAAUGCAACAUAACGGGUACGAGAGACUAAGAUUCGUGACGCAAUUUUCCUUCUUUCAAAGGGGUAAUAGUGUGCUAAGACUAAAAAAAGCCAUAUUCACCUAUUUCCCAUAUUCGAAAGAAGACUCUUGACGGGCUCUAAACAUAAGUGCAAGUUUAAUCCAAAAUACACCCGUUUGACUGCAAGUAUACAAGUCAACUACUAGUUUAAGAUACAUAUCGAGUCGAUCCCAUGAGAAGCAACUUUACAAGUACUAAGGUUCUUUACUUGCUCUACUAUUUAGACUAACUAUCGAUAAAACAAUGAAAAUAUCAAUACUAACUAUCUAACUAAAUUAACUAGAUAACUUGCAAGUAAAUAAUGGAGAAAUUUCACUAAAUACUUGAGUUUAGGGAAAUAGACUCCACUUAUGGCAUAAAAGAUACAAGUAAAUAGCUUUACCUCUUAUUACUAUUCUUGUUUAACAGGGAUUCAAUUCCAUAUAUAGCAAAACUCAUUCUUAUGAUGAAAUGGCCUAAAAUAGUCUAGUUUUCCCUAUUCUCAUGGUGAAUAACUAAAUCUACUUUUGUAUUCUUCAUGAAAUGCAAGUAUAAUCCACUUAAAUGUACUUCUACUCUCAUGAGUCUACUCCUUAAGCUCCAUUUAUGUUGGUCCAUCAGUAUUACCUACUUUCAUUGAAUAAUAACAACUAAUAGCUUGCUAUUGGUGAUCAAGCAACAAGAAGUGAUAAACAUGCAUAAAUGGACAAGUUAAUAUAAGAUGUAACAAGUAAAAAUCAUAUUCAACUCAUAACAAUUGGCCAUAAGUUUCAUCUACUCCCCAGAUCUAGAAAUUCAGUUACUCAUGUGAAUAAAGACAAUAAUGAGCAUAACUUCAUUGCAUGCAAAUGUAAUGAAUCACAAGUAAAGAGAAAAAUAGAGGAAGCUUAGCGAAGGUGAUGAACAAGCUCCCAAAUCUUCUAUUUCUUCAAUAAUAUGAGUGAUAUAAUGAAGUCUCCAAGUUUUUCUUACGAGUUCCUGACUAGAGAGAAUAAGAAAAGACUACCACUAAAUCCUACCAAAAACUAACAAGAACUUCCUAGAACCCCUUCUCUCCUCAAUGAUUCUUGCAUAUGUAUUGUUAGAGGAGUCAAAAUGUGGUUAAUGACAAGACAUAAAGCUAAUUUUCUCCUUCCUAAUGACUCUUGAGCAUGUGCAGCCGAAAUUCUUGUCUAGAAUUGAGCUAGAAAGCAGUGUGAAAACAAAAUAAGUUGCGAAAAAAAGGAGAGAACACGCAGGCUUUGAAUAUUCAACCUAAUUCCACGUAUUCUGAACUCACGUUUUCUCUUCUGCGACUUAAGCACCUCUUAAACUGAUAUUUUCUCAAUGAUGGAGGCUGAACUAACUCUUUUGCAAAACAUAAAAGUUGUAAUCUUUGAGUUAGCUUUCCAAUGCUUAAGAAUCAUCCAACUUGGAGCUCUGUGGAUCAAAAAAUGACCAAAAUACCCUCAACUGGUCAAAACUCUAUUUCAGCUUUCAACAACAAAAUUGCACUUCUGUAUUUUGACUUUUUGACAAUGAAAAUGAGUAAACUGGACUCCAAUGUCACAUGCCAAAUGUACAUCUAUCUCUUAGCUUCAAAAUGGUUCAAGAAUCACCUCAAUCCGAUGCUUGUAGUUCGAAAUAUUGCCGAAAUACCAUAAGGUGUCAAAGCAGGAAAACUUGCAUCUCAUCUUUUGAACAUUUACACUUCAUGUCUUUUUAAAUUACUGCAAAUCAUCAAUAAUCAUCCAAUUAUCUUUUGCAUUAACUCCAAUUGAUGAUUGAAUCAUUAAACAUACAAAAGCAUGAAAUUUUCACAUUAAAAUCCAUAGAAAUGCAAUUUUUGCCACUUAAACCCAAAAAAUGCAUAACUUUACUAGAAACUUAAGUAAUUAGCUAUAAAUAUGACUAAAACAUACCAAAACUAAAUAAUAAAAUACACUAAAAAUAUAUAAAAUGAUGUUGGUUAAAUGAAGGUUAAAUGAUGUUGGUUGGAUGAUUCCUUGCAAGGAAAUGGUGAAAAAAUAAGAAUUUGUAAAGUGUGUGUGAGUGUGGGUGAGGCGAAAAGAAUGAAAGAAAACAGGGCAGUCGCAUUUUCUAUGUAGUCACUGCAGAAUACAAUACGCGACCAUAGAAUACGCGACUUAAGGUCGAGUAUUUCUGAUACCCCAUAUUCUUCUUUGUUUUCGGAAAAUUCAAAAUGCGACUCUGUGAAUACGCGACUUCAAUUCGCGUUUUGUAUUUUAAUCUUGCAAAACAGAAAACGCGAUUUAUAAUGAGACAUUCAAAGCUUUCCAAUGGUAUAAAAAUCCCCUGCUAGUUCAUUUUUUGUAAACCGUAGCGACUCGGCAAAGUGGACUGUCCUGCUUUGCUAGUCUGUCCGAGAGAAACUGGGAAGCUGCAUCUUGUGGCUCGAUUUUGUCCCACUUGUGAAAAGAUUCAAAAUGAUGUCUUCUAAUGAAUUGUAGAAUUUUGAACCUAGUUUCCAAUGCCAUAAACCAUUCUCAAUUUGGAGUUGUAUAGUGCUAGAUAUGGUUUGAUUUCGAAAAUGCGCCAAAGCUGAAAACUGGAAAAUUUUCCCUUCCGUGCUCACCGAAUGGUCAAAUCUAUUUUGGGAUGUUAUAUUUCAAAAAUUUUAGUGUCAUUUAAACAUCAGUUGCUUCUUAAAUGUUUCUAGAAUCUUGAUUUCAAAAAUGGAGCGAAUUGGGGCUGAUUUCGUUGGACAAAACUUUUCAAAAAGAAAGAGAAAUAGGAUGACAGAUUUGCUUUGACAGAUUUCACAAACUUUGGUUGUUUUGUUAACUGCCUUCCCGUGCAAGUUCUUACCUAAAUUUUAAUAGAGAGGCAGUCCAUAUAUGGAAGUUUAAGAUACCAAAUUUGGUGUAAUUUCAGUACCAUUUCGAUAUACAAAUGAUGCCCCAAAGAUUGCUCUUCAAAACUGGAAAUCCACUGUUCAAGUCACGAAAAUCAACCAACUUCAAACUGUUAUAUCUUGUUGCUCAAAACUCCAAAUUUAGUUCCGCUUGUUGUGUUUGAAACUUGAUUUGGAACUCUUAUUGUGUUAUAAAUUCUAGAGGCUGAUUCACAUCCUGUGAAUUUUACCGAAUUUCCAAACAUCACUGAAAAUCAAGACUAGUUCUGUCUUGUCUCCAUGAAUCAGCAACUUUGAACUGAAAAUGAAUGUUUUCUGUUUGGAAUCUUGGAAAAGUUCUUCUGAAAAGUUUUAGUACUUUUAAACUAGUUUCCAAUAGUGUAAAGUUUUCUAUUUUUGGAUAUACCAACUCAAGAUCUGAUUUUACCAAGUUUGUCGAUCAAAGCUGAAAUUCUUGAUUUCUUAGGAAAUGAGUUUUGAGAACCUUUCAUUUCUUUUUGAUAUUGAUAGUUCGUUUUAAACCUGAUUUCAUGGAGGAUACGAGUUUUCCAUUGUGACUUUAAAUCUUCACUUUUAAAUCUUGAAUUACAAUAGAGUAAAGCUCUUUUAAGACAUUGUCCUAUGUCUAAGUGAACGCACUUCCUUCCUUGUAUGUUAAGUGAUUGUGAGUAUACGUGAGUGCUAAUUGAUCACUAUUUCUUCAGGCCCUCAAGAGGAUAUUGAAGGAAACCUCGGAGCAGACCACUAAAGACUUUAUUUGCUCACUUACUUUUGAAUUGGUAAGUGUCAAGUGCAUGAAUUGUUGCUAUAUCCUGAAUUGUUCAUUAUUAAUUGAGUAUUUUGAAAUUGUCGAGACGAGCGUGUAUUUUAUCGCACUCGUUCUCUUUUAAGUGAAUUUAUAAUUGAAGUAUGUGAAGUGAAAAUUGUAUUUGUGUUGAAUCGAUGUCAAUUGGAGUGAAUCUCAUCGACUUACAAUUAUAUUGGUAUUGACUUUAUAUCGAUUGGAGUGAAUCUCAUCGACUUAUAAUGAUAUUUGUGUUGAAUCGAUGUCGAUUGGAGUGAAUCUCAUCGACUUAUUCUUAUAAUUGUGGGGGACGCCCAAACUCAUAGGCUAACCUUGCGACUCGAGCUGGCAUGAGCUUGGUCGGGAAGUUUGGUGAACCAUGGGAUAGAUUUUAGAGCAUGAUCUAUUUGAGAGAUCUUACUUGGUAUACUCGAGUAAUAUUGCCUUUUCUAAUCAACGUUCGGGCAUGGUUAGGGGGUGUAACGGUGGACAGAAACUUGAUGUUAAGAGGAGUUCUACGAACUUAAUACCUACCCGGUUGACGGAGAGUCAUCACGUGGAGGUAUUGGAUCGAGUCUCGACAAAGCAAGUGGAAUCUAGCUCCUGAGAGCUCCCGUAUCCUUAUUGAUUGUGUUUUAUUAUUUAUUGUGAAUUACAUGAACUCUUUAGCUUUAUCUUUCAUAUAAGUGUUAUUGUUACUUGAACUAUGUGUUUGCAUGAUUUUCUUGGCCUUACUGAGCGUUAGCUCAUCCCAUUAGUUUGUUUUCCUUAACAGGAGCUCGGAAUGGAAAGAAUUUUGAGGAAGCCGACUUGAUUACUUUUGAUUAGAAUCUAGUGAUGUAAUCGAUUAGUCAACUUCUAGUGGUUAUAUUUUGGAGAAAAUUGAUGUACAUUUGAUAACUUGUGAUGUAAGAUUUGAUUAUUUAUGUAAGAAAGUGACUUUUCUUUAUUUUGGCUUUCAAUAUCAGUGAUGUAUCGUUAAGUUCAAAAUUGACUUGUAUCGAGUCCUGACGAGAGUUAGACAGACGUUCCGCGGAUACCCUUGGAUUCGCCUGAGGGAGAAGUGGGGGCGUCACAUCAGCUCGGUAACUUGCAAUCAAACACACCAAUCACGGAAUAUUUUGGACCAUAAUUCACACUUCUAGAUCCAAAACAUUGAUAGAUUACAAGUAUUUGUUACCUACACAUGCGACUAUUGCUAGGAGAAUAAGAAAUUCCAUUGGCCCAUCGAUCAAGGAAAUUCGUAUACAUAUAUCACCAUGAAUCUUGUGGAAUAACGUAUUUCCAGUAUACACAACACAUCCGACUCGUUAGUUGAAUAUAUCAAAUAUUAAUUAAAUAGCAUGAUUUAGUUAAUGAAAUAUUAAUCAUAACACAAAAUUCAUGGACUAAUGGCGGUCAAUUAACUGACGAUAUAUACUUCAUGCAUGAUUGAUUAUUGUUUGUUUAAACAAUAGUAGAUUGGUACGACAGGAACUCCAUCUAACAAAAUCAGGCUAAAAGAUAAGAAAAUAGAAAGGAUAGUAAGAUUGAUAGAUAUAGAUUAAUAUAGCCAGGGAAUUUUUUUUUUUUACUAAGAAAAGCUCCAACAUUAAUGGCUACGCAUAUAUCUUUUACAUGAUUAAUACAUCUCUUUAUCAAUUUUCCCCAACUAAUCUGAUAGAGUAAAAAAACAAAAAAAAGGAAAAACACAUGUUCUAAAUCAAUUUUCCAUCCCGUUAUAUGGCCAAAAAGUAAAAAGUUCAUUGAGGAAAAAUCAAGGUUGAACUUUAUAUAAAUUCGGCAUCAAAUUAUCAUCCUAAUUUGAAAUAUAUAUUCACAGUUGUAAAGCUAAAAGAAUUUCAGCCGAGAAGCAGUAAAAAUUAAAAACACAUAGAUAAUAACAUAAUAAAACCAAAAAAAGAUUUAAAUUUAAAUGCUACAAGAAGGAAAUAAAUCUAAAUUAAUUAGCACAAAGGCAAAAAAAAGUGCCGAUAAAAAUCUCCAAAAAGGAAAAAAAAUUGUCGAACCAACCAAAGUCCCAAAUUUGGUAAAAGAACAAUGAGUUCUCUACCACCUUACCCACAAGCUGAUUCGAGAUUAGAUUGCAGGUUGUGAACUUGUAAGGCUCUGGAGUUCUAGAUUUGAAGCUUGAAGCAUGAAAAAGAAUACGAAGGUCCUAAAGGAAGAGAAGGGAGUAAUGGUGUGUCACACCCCUUUUUUGAAAAUAAAAGAGAAUGGUGUUAGAAAAUGAGUUUUUGAUUUUAGAAAAUAUAGAAAAAGGGGCUAAAAUGGGAUUUUAAAUAAUGCGAUAGUUUGGGCCAAAAUAUUAGUCUAAAAAGGGUUUUAAAAAGAGAGUCGCCACUUGGUAUUGAAUUUAGAUUUACCAAGUCACCCAAAAUGUUUGAAAAAUAAAAAAAAAGUAAAUAAAACUCAUUUAGACGCUUUCAGGUCUUUGAAAAUAAGAAAAUAGUUCAAGAGUCACAGUUGAAGAAAAAAAGACAGAAUUGAUCGAUUCAAAUUUAAGGCACGUUUUCAACCUGGUCGAAACUAGUUACGAGAUUUAGUAAAAAAUUUUCCUAAUUCUAACCUAUAAAACUUAUUACAUUUGGAUGCUUACAUAUAGAUGCAAACCUAGAUCUAAAGGGUAUCAAGAGAGACGAGAUGUCUCUUCAAAGUUUAAUUGGUACAAAUCACAUUAAUUAUGAAGCCCAAAAAUGAUCCCUUGAAGAGAUCACGAAUAUGCAAAAGAUGAAACUCAGGAAGGAAAUUAUGAUACAAAUAUACAUGACCUAGAAGAGGGGAAUGCAACAUAACGGGUAUGGAAGAAUAAGAUUCGUGAUGCAAUUUUUUUUCUUAUAAAGGGGUAAUAGCUGUUAAGGCUAAAAAAAAAGUCAUACUCGUCCAUUUCUCAUAUUCGAAGGGUAACUCUUGACAGGUUCUAAAUAUAAGUGCAAGUUUAAUCUAAAAUACACCUGUUUUACUGCAAGUAUACAGGUCAACUAGUAGUUUAUGGCAUAUAUCGAGUCGAUCCUACGAGGAGCAAUUUUACAAGUACUAGGUCCUUUACUUGCUCUAUUAUUUAGAUUAACUAUCAAUAAAAGCAAUGAAAAUAGCAAUACUAACUAUCUAACUAAAUUAACUGGAUAACUUGCAAGUAAACAAUGGUGAAGAAUCCACUUAUGGCACAAAAGAUACAGAUAAAUAGAUUUAUCUCUUGUUACUAUUCUUGUUUAACUAGGGAUUUAUUUUCAUAUUUACCAAAACUCAUUUUUAUGAUGAAAUGGCCUAGAAUAGUUUAGUUUUUCCUAUUCUCAUGAUGAAUAACCAGAUCUAUUUUUGUAUUCUUCAUAAAAUGCAAGUAUAAUCUACUUAAGUGCACCUCUAUUCUCACGAGUCUACUCCUUAAUCUCCACUUAUGUUGGUCCAUCAUUAUUAUCUACUUUUAUUGAAUAAUAACAACUAAUAACUUGCUAUUGGUGAUUAAGCAACAACAAGUGAUAAACAUACAUAAAUGGAUAAGUUAAUAUAAGAUGUAACAAGUGUAAAUCAUAUUCAACUCAUAUCAAUUGGCCAUAAGUUUCAUCUACUCCCUUGAUCUAGAAAUUUAGCUACUCAUGUGAAUAAAGACAGUAAAGAGCAUAAAUUCAUUGCAUGCAAACCUAAUGGAUCACAAGUAAAGAGAAAGAUAGAGAAAGCUUAGCCAAGGUGAUGAACGAGCUCUCAAAUAUUUUAUUUCUUCAACAAUAUAAGUGAUACAAUGAAGUCCCCAAGUUUUUCUUAUAAGUUCCUAACUAGAGAGAAUGAGAAAAGACUAAAACUAAAUCUUACCAAAAACUAACAAAAACUUCCUAGAACCCCUUCUCUCCUCAAGGAUUUUUGCAUAUGUAUUGUUAGAGGAGUCAAAAAGUGGUUAAUGACAAGACAUAAAGCUCAUUUCUCCUCCCUAAUGACUCUUGAGUGAAUUCUUGUCUAGAAUUGAGCUAGAAAGCAGUGUGAAAACAAAACAAGUUGCAAAAAAGAAAGAGGAGAAUACGCAGGCUUUUAAUACACGACCUAAUUCCACGUAUUCUCAGCUCACGUUUUCUUUUCUGUGACUUAAGCACCUCUUCAACUGAUAUUUUCUCAAUGAUGGAGGCUGAACUAACUCUUUUACAAAACAUGAAAGUUGUAACCCUUUGAGUUAUCUUUCCAAUGCUUAAGAAUCAUCCAACUUGGAGCUCUGUGGAUCGAGAAAUGACCAAAAUACCGUCAAAUGGUCAAAACACUAUUUCAGUUUUCGAUAACAAAAUUCCACUUCUAUAUUUUGACUUUUUUGACUAUGAAAAUGAUUAAACUGGACUUCAAUGUCUCAUACCAAAUGUAGAUCAAUCUCUUAGUUUCAAAAUGGUUCAAGAAUCUGUGAGAACCUGAAAAUUUUCAUAUUUUACAGGCAUUAUUUUAUUUCUUUGCCUACAUUUUUAUUACUUUCCUUUAAAAUAUUACAUUUUCUAUAUAUUUUAUAAGUAAGUACAGUUUUUAAAUCAUUUUUCUGAUAUAAGUUAGUGUACGUUCAAUUUGAAGUGCAUUAGGGACGUGGGACCCGCUAGUGCGGUAAGUGCGAUAAAUUUGGACCAAUAGUUGGAGUUUUGUGUUAAGUGAUAUAAUUCUCCAGGGAGCUAGAAGAUAAUGGGAGGUUAGCUAGAUUAAUUAGUAUUGGAGAGAAGAAGAUAAGAUUAAAGUUUAGAGGCGCCACGUGUUGCGACCCGAUUAGUGAGUGGACUUUGACUAAGAGUAUUUCACUUUCCUAAACUUCAAUUUUGACCCAAUUUUUAUCCCAUUUUAAGCUUCCUUGGCCGGCCACCUUUAGGGAAAGAAACCAAGAGAGAAACUUCAUUUGUUCUUCAAUUUCUUGCCCAAUCUUGAAUUCCAACCAGAAUUUUUGCAAAACCCUCCAUAAAAGUUGUUUACUAAGGUGGAUUAAAGGAUUGAGUGGAGUGAUUUUGGAAGGACAAGCUCCAAGCUACUACCCUUCUUGAGGUGUUAAGGUACUUUGUCAAGAAAUCUUCUUUUUGUUACUAAUAAUGGUAAAUUAGUAGUUUGCAGUGGCUAAAUAUGUUAUUUUAUGGAAGAUUUUGUGGUUUGAGGUAGAGUUAGCUAAAUUUCAGAUUUUUUGGGUGAUUUUUCUGCCCUCAUAUGAUGAUUAAUGAUUGGCCUUGGAAUGGUAGCUUUGUUAUGUGUAAAAUGAAGCUUUUAUGUGUUAGUUGUGGUUGAUUGCGGAAAUUUCAGUUUGUACGGAAAAUUUAAGCUUUAGGGUUUCAAUUUGGGGGCUUUCUUCUGAUUGGUAUUGGAGCUAUUAAUUGGCUCAAAUUGAAGAGUAUUGUGGCCCUAAUUAGGUGUGUUUUAUAACUUAUGAUUUGUAUGUGCAAUUGUGGUUGAGUUGUAGGAUGAAAAAGUAAGGAAUUUAGGGGAUAUGCUGUCCAAAUUUUGGGGAUAUUGGAUUUCUUCGAGCUUGGUUUGAUUUGGGGUAUAUAAGAAGACUUUUGGGUCGCUCGAGCCCUAGGUCUUCAUGUUACCUUUUCGUUCCAAAAAUCAUGUUUUGUACCCUUGCAUUCGUAAUUAUUUGAAGAGGCAUACGACUUGUAGUCGAGCCUCAUUUGUGCAUUUCGUUUACUGGAUUUGUGGCUAUGGGAACCAUAAUUGCUUACCUUGGUUAUUCUAGGGUUUCUUGGUGAUUAGAGCCCUACUUUGGUUGAAACUUUUGAAGUAUCCUUGCUUAACUGGUGAGUGUACCAUUCCCCUCAAUUGUUGCGUAACUUGGUAUAUGUGCAAAUUGGGACUUGAAUGACUGUAUCAUCUGUUUAUUCUGUAUGAGACGAGGGUGUACUUUAUCACACUCGUUCUCUGGCCUGUGUGACUUGUUUCAUGUAUAUACUCGAAUUUGUUACUUGCGCCUGAUAUGAUGUCGUUUGGAAGUGUAUCCAACAACCUUCCUGUUAAAUCUAAGCUCAAUCUCAUGGGGAGUCAAUUAAAUCAAGCCAGCAAGGGCUUGGUUGAGGAAAAUUGACAAUCCAUGGGUGCCUGUUCUUGGGAAAUCUUUGGGUAUUGGAAACUUUAGAUUUCCGGUAUACUCGAGUAUUACCAUUCCUGUUCUUGUUUGGCGUUCGAGCCCAGUAAGGGGCAUGUUUGGUGAACGGGAUUUUGCAUAAGAGGGGUCUACAGACAUGUGUGUUUCAUUAAACGUUGAUGGAGGGUCAACGAGGCUGGAUCAAGUAUUGCAACGGGGAUUUGGCUCCUGAGCCACCUGUAUCCUUUAAAUUGUGGUGUUCAUUCAUUUCUCGUAUUUGAUGUGUAUAUGUGCCUUAAAAGUGAAUUCUCAUGAUUUCUACUGUUUAUACUUUUGGUACCUCAUUGAGCUUUUAACUCACCCCGUUCCGUUAUUCUUGUUUUCCUUACAGGGAACAAUCUUUUGGAACUUCGCUGUUUUGAAGAAUGAGUUGAGCUAGUUAGAAAUUCUUUUGUUCUUUUGGUAUAGCUCCUCGACAAUUUGGAAACCCUAAAUGUAUCUUAAUACAAUGUUUCCUUUGGAUUUGUAAACUUAACAAUAUGAAUAUUUUAAAGAGUUUCCUCAUGUUUAUGUAGCAUAUGUAUUUGGGAAUGUUCAUUCUCUCAUGAGAGACAAAGUUUACUUGUAUUUGGUUGAGUUUUAGACGAGUGCGAAAGUUGAUCGAGAAAAGAAGAAAUAUUGGCGAGGUUACUGUCACCGAAUCCGGCCAAGUUUUGGCCGGAUACCUGGCCGAACCAGCAGGGAAGUUUUGAAAAAUUUUUAUUUUGGCCUCUGCCUCCAAUCCGACCUAGAAUCCGGCCAAAAACCGGCCGGAUUGUGACAUGGCAGUCACUAUUCACCUUCAGUUCGAUUUUCGUUUUCCAUUCUGUGGUUGUUGAAUUGUUUAAACGCACUAAUAUAUUUCGGAACAUUUUAGUUUGUAUAUAAUCAUCUUAGUAGUCCUGGCGAGAGUUGGGCAGGCAGUUCGCUAACCCAUUUGGUACGCCUUAGGGGAAGGUGGAACUGUCACAGAAUCACCUCAAUCCAAUGUUUGUAGCUUGAAAUAUCGCCGAAAUACCAUAAGGUGUCAAAGCUAGAAAACUUGCAUCUCAUCGUUUGAACAUUUUACACUUCAUGUCUUUUUUAAAUUACUUCAAAUAAUCAAUAAUCAUCCAAUUAUCUUUUCCAUUAACUCCUAUUGAUGAUUGAAUCAUUAAACCUAUAAAAGCAUGAAGUUUUCGCAUUAACAUCCAUAGAAAUAUAAUUUUUGCCACUUAAACCCAAAAAAUGCAUAACUUUACUAGAAACUUAAGUAAUUAGCUAUAAAUAUGACUAAAACAUGCUAAAAGUAAAUAAUAAAACACACUAACAAUAUGUAAAAUAUGCACUUAUCAACUCUCCUAACCUAAACAAGCAAAAUGGACUUUAACCUAUUUUUUUUCUAAUUUAUCUAAAUGAGAUGCAAAUUUAAAUGAUAUGAUUUGCGCACAUAAGGAUAAGAGAAUAGGGGAGACAUAUCAUGCAAAAGAAAAAAAAUGCAUGAGAUGCAAUAAAUGUCAAACCAAAGCAUGAAUCUAUCGUAUCGAUGGCCUAAAGGGUCUAGCAUUGGACUAGCGCAUUUCUACAAGUUCUUACUAGCAUUGGACUAGGGAGAAAUCGGGGAAAAGAGCCACAGCUAGCAUUGGACUAGUGCGGUGACAUUAUGCAAUCAUUAUAAAUAAAUAAAGUGUAUAAAGUAUGACUAAAAUAGAUAAACACAAAGUGCACAUAGAUCACAUAGAACAUAGACAUGAUAUCUAAAUACAAAACCCUAGAAAAAAACAAGUAGACAUGCAAGCAUAUAAACACCCAAAUAGGUAAGCAAAUAAGACCUAACUAUUACAUUGAGAACCCUAACUACAAUCUAAAAGGGAAAUUUUAAAAAUAAUAGACCUAUCUAUUACAUUUAUCUAACUAAUUACAUUUUUGGUAAAAAAUAAAAUCUAUCGAUUGCAUCACCUAUCUAAAUACAUUUCUUGGCAAGAGGGUAUAACCUAUCUAUUACAAUUUGGCAUUUAAAUGCCUUCCAAACAAACAUCCAAAUUAAAUAAAAUAAAUAAAGGCUUAAAAUGAAUUAAAUGAAUAAAUAAAAGAAAAACCAUAUAAAAACAUGCAAUCACACAUGAAAAUACAUAGGAUCACAUAAAAGAAUUUAAAAAAUAAUAGAGAGUACCUUCCUUGAAAUAGUGGCUAAGUGUAAAGGAUGUAAAGUUGUCACUUUUCCCAAAAAAUUAACAAGCGUGUCAAUGCACCAAUUUAAUUUACAAUUUUCAAAGAGAAUAAGAACCAAAAAUUUAAUCUAAUAAUUCAACAUUCCAAACAAGACACAAAAAAUCAAGGAAUCAAGAGAAAUUUCAAAAAAAACUAAAAAUAAAAAUAAAAUAGAAAAAAUUUAGGGACUAAAAUGCAAAAAUUAAAAAGUUUUAGGGUAAAAAUAUAAUUUUCCAAAGAUUAAGGACCUAAGUGCAAUUUUUGCAAGAAGAGUCCCUACCGCCCAAAUUUUCCUCACAUAAUAUUAACUCCCAAAAUUGAUUUGAAAACCCCCCAUAUUAAAGUUAUUGCAUUAAUUUCCCAAAUUAUAAAAAAUAAAACGUAAAAUUCAACAAAAAUUACUUAAGCCCCGAUCUACUUUAGAACCAAAACAUAACUCAUCAAAAUCAUGUCUAAGAUGCAUAAGACAACCCAAGGCCUCAAAGGGAGAAAUUUGCACAUUAUCAUAAUUUUAGGGGUCAUACUGCAAUUAUACAAAAAUAUUGGGGUCAAAAUGUAAAUAUUUUCAUGAAUUGAAAAAUCAGCAAGUAAUAAACGGCUGAAUCAAAUGAAUUUCCAGAAAUUAAGAUCACGUAGAAAGUCACAAAUGUAUAUGAUGAAAUAAAUAACAAAAGAAGAAAGAAAAACAAGCUUUUGGUUUUAAUUACUUCAUGUGCCCGUUCACUAGUUUUGGGGCUUUUUUAUCAUAGUCCAAACAAGAAUUAAUCAACAAGCCAACACAAAAAACACGGAGGCCCAAGCAUAAGCCUAACAUGAAUAAAUUCUUGGCCCAAUUUUUUAAUUCACAAACGCAUCCAACUAAACACUCACAACCCUAAUGGAUCAAACAUAACAAAACAAAACAAAGUAAAAAGAGCAUAAAUAAAUAAAAAAACCAAAAAAAUAGAAAAAUUCCUGCCAAGUCAGCCAGAAUCUUGCCGGAACCCAUUUUUAUAAACUUUUGAGAUCGGAUCUUUUCAUAUACAUGAAGCCCAUGGUUUAUGGGCUCAACCAAACAUCAAACCAGGAUAAGCAUGUAAAAUGAAGAUCUAAGCUCCUUGAGCAUGAACAUCCAUGACCACAUUCAAAUCCCUUGCAUGAACAUCGAGCCAAAAAGGGAAAAGUCAUGGAAAUACCUAAGGAUGGUUUAGGAUCAGAUUAAAACCAAAAAAUACGAACGGAAGCACAAUUGAUAAAGCUUCAAACGUGAUUGUUCUAGUGGUUAAUUUCUUCAAGAUAUACCACUAGAUGUUCUUGUGGUUAAAAAACUAGCAUAGCUCUUGAUUUGUUGGUUGGAUUUACUUGGAAAUUUUCCAUUGAUAACCAAGGGCUAAUGAUUGAUGAAACCCUUAGGGAUUUGAGUGAAUUUUUGUUGGUUAAAUGGUUGUUCUGUUGGCAAAAUUCUUGAGGAAUUUUCGAAUGAGCUAGCCGAAUGAAUAGGGUUAAUUUUCAACCUUCAUUUUCGACAUUUUUGUGUUCUUUUAAACUAAAUUUCACUCAAGUGACUUGCUAUUAUGUUAAACUAUGAUUAUAUGUUGAAAUGGAGUUGAAAUCUAGGAAUUUUAACAGUUAAAAGUCAUUUUUAUUUCACUAUUUUUGGGCUAAGAACUAUCCAGGCAGCAAUGGUGAAAUCGAGACUGUUUUGCCCUUGAUUUUGUUUUUUCACACAUCAAAUUUUUGGGAAAACUAAUCUAGAUACAUGUCAUUUUCAUAACUCGAGCUUUCGUGUCGAGUUCAACUGAAUUUGAUUUAGUUUCGCGAAUUGUUGAGGCGAAACUUAUUAUCUUUCUUUACGUGUUUAUAGGAGUGAUUGAAGAUUGUGAUAUCGAUCCUAACUUGGAUUCGGAGCUUUGAUAUAUAGGUGAGUUUCCAUGCAUGUUAUCCGACUUGAAUUUGCAAAUGUGACAUAAAUGUAAACUUGAUGUUGUGACUAAGAUGAAUAUUGUUUUGAAUUGUUGAAGUGUUGUGAUGUCGCUUCGGUUGUUACCCCAUCGACGAUCAGUGAUUGAGUAUGCAUGUUAAUUCUUGGGAAUUCCUGAGUCCUAUAGGUAAGUCUGUUGAUUCGAACCAGUCAUGGGACUUGGUCGAGGAGAUUUGACGAGCCAUAGAAGAGUGUUUUAUAUUCGCUGGACUUAGUGUUUAGACUUGUCCCUUUUGAAGUGAAAACUAUGGUAUGCUUGAGCAAUACCCAUUUUAAGUCUUUUGGAUUUCGGGCCCGAUAAGGGAAGUCAAUGGAAGGAGAAUGAAGUAAGUGGAUUUCUACAUAAUGAUAAAACUUGAGAGUCGACGGAGUGUCGACUAUGUGAAAUAAGAUCAAAAUUCGUGGAAAUUGACUCCUGAGAGCCACCCGUAUCCUACCCCUUGAUAUUGUUAAUCGCUUUAUUUACUCGCUUUGAAUUGUGAACUUGAAGUGUAAUUUGAACUGCUCUAUAUGACUGUAUGUUUUUUGGAACUCACUGGGCGUUAGCUCAUUCUUUCAAAUUUGUUUUCCUUAACAGGAAUUGAGUACCCGAGUGAAGCCGCUGUCAAUUAGGGUGUAACCCUGUUUCUUUUGUACCUUGUUUUGGGUUGUUAAACAUUGAAUUCGAUAUUUUGGAAGCUUGUAAGAUGAACUUUGAUUGUAUCUUAAGUACGUUGGAUCGUAUUUUUAUUAGUCAGGUUGUAAGUUGAACUUAGUCAUGUUAUAAGCUGUGGAAUUAUUAUUUAAGUACUUUUGAAGUAUUUUAUUCGAUUGUAUGAGUGAGUCCUGGCGUGAGUUGGGUAGGCAGCUAACUGGACCCUUUGGUUCGCCCUAGGAGAGGCAAUGGUUUUAAACCCGAAACGGGGAGUGAAUAGGAAAACCUUCCGGUUCAUGGUUCGACUGUUUCAACCAGUUCAACCCCCGGUUCGAAGGUUUAAUAAUUUUUUAUUCAUUUUAGUAUUAAAAAUUUUGAAUAAAACUAAAAUAUUUAUUUUAGAAAAUAAAUAUUUAAUAAAAACCAGUUGACCCUCCCGAUUUUUACCGGUUCAACCGGGUCUUGACCGGUUUAAUUAAUUCUUUGGCUUUGUGAUUGAAUCGGACUAGAGGUGAUAAGUGACUAAUUUACGUAAUAAUUGUAUGAUAUUUUAUAUUAUUUUUAGUUACUUUAGUUAUAUUAUUGGAAGAAAAUGAAUUAUUUUGGCUAUAAUUGGUGAAAAAUACUUUUAAGAGAUUAAAUGAGCUUUUUAUCACUUUUUACUUGGAUUUUGUGUAUUUUGACAGUUUUGACACAUUUUCGUAUUUCGGCUAUAACUUGAGCUACAAUGAUCGGAUUGGGAUGAUUCUUGAACCCAUUUGAAGAUAAGAAAUAGAUCUACAACUUUGGUGAAGAUAUCUGAAUCCAGUUUGAAGGUUUUCUAGGUCAAAAACCCGAAUAACAGUAGCAAAUUUGUACUGGUCGAAGCUGAAACAGGGCAAUGAGCAGGCAAGGGGAAGGAAGAGAGAGACAUACGGGAGAACUUGGAGAGUGCAGAAAUGUAGCUCUUUCAUCUUCUGAGUGUUAGGUUAGCAUUAGUGUAGACUAGUAUAGUUCAUCCAUUCUUGAAUGUUAGCUAGGUUAGGAUGAAGAUGGAGAUGAAGAAGGAGAAGUUGAAACUCAAGUGACAUGGGUUAUCUCUUCUCCAACUCUUUAUCUUUUGUAUCAGAUUCUUAAGUUUAGUUAAUAUACAAGUUCUGGAUUUUGUGUUUAUUAUGUGUCUCUAAAGUUUAUGCCUUGGGUUUGGUUGAACUUUCUAUAAUUGUUGGUGUUUAUUAUUUGGUUAUUUGAUUGCUAUGAUUUGAGCAAGUUAUUUAGCACUUUGGCUCUUUAAAUCAUGAUUAAUCUGGUACCAUUGAUUGUGAUUAUCUAAGGUGUUGUUUCUGCAAUGAAAAUUGAGAUUUAACACUAGUUCAAGAAGUGCUAAACAUAGGAAGUACACUCACGAAAGUAGAGGUGCACUUAUAUGGUUUUUAGUGAUUCAUUUCAUGUAAUUUCAUUGAAGAAAUGAACUUGUAGCUAAUUUCAUAACCAUGAAAAUAGGUAUGGAUUAGUUAUGAGUAUAGUUGAUUCACUACGAAAGUAGGUUUCACAUGUUUAAGGAAAUUACACCAUAACUAGCCUAGAUGUAGUACUCAAUGAUCCAAAUAUAGCACUUGCAUGAGUAGUUAGGGAUACCACAACCUAAGGAGCAUUCAUUUGCUAUUUUGUAUAAUUUCAGUAGGUUAAAUUUGUUAUAAUUCAUUAAUAGUCUAAAUAAUAGAGAAGCUUUAGUAGUACCGGUAAUUGUUCACUCUUCCUUGUGGGAUCGACCCGAUAUAUACCCUAAACUACUAGUUGACCUAUAUACUUGUAGUGAACGGGUGUAAUUCGAUUUUUUAACUUGUACGUAUGUAAAAUACCCGUCAGGAGGCAUGGCCGGUUCGUGGUUUGACCGGCCGAACCGGCCGGUCCAGUCUGGUUUUUAAAACAUUGAGGGGAGGAGAAGGUGGGCUGUCACAUUUUUAGCAACAAGUAAUUCUUGUUCUUUUUUUCACUUCCUUAUUUAUAGCAUAGUUUCUUAUUUAUAGUCAAUUUCAAAAAAAUCUAUUAACGAGCCACCUUUUAUAAAUUUCUAUUAAUCGUACAUUCUUUAUUUUUUUUGUCCAUCAAUCAUAUCUUUCCUUUUCUAAUCAUCUUCAAUCAUGUUCUGUCAUUUUUUUUCCUAUUCUAUACUUCCUUUUUUUUUUUUUUUUUUUUUUUUAAAAGGGGAAACCCCUGAUAUUUUAUUUAUACUAACGGAUAAAUCCAAGAAGGUGGAAAAAUCCCCAACCUUCAAUACAUGCUGAAUAACUAGGAGCUAUACCUACACAGGGAACUUGCGAAUGUAUGGAAAACCUAUCGCAUCCAAAUUUAUCAGCGACCGAACUCUACUUGGUAGCUGGUGAACAGAUUGAAAAGUAACAUAUGGGCUCUCCCGAGAUAACUCUGCUAAGCUGUCUGCCACGGCAUUCGCCUCACGAUGAAUAUGUGUAAUAGACCCCUUCACCUUGCCCAGUAACAAGCGAAGUUGACUUAAGACGCUACACAACGGCCACUUACCAACCGAUCGAUUCUGGACCAACCUUACCAACACUAAGGAAUCCACCUCUACCAAAAUCUCUGACAACCCUGCCCCCGUACACCACUGCAGCCCAGCACACAAUGCCAAGCCCUCCGCAUGGACCACUUCAUAUUCCCCAAAUUCCUUAUAAAAAGCACCAAUCAUUUUCCCUUCAGAAUAACGUACCACCCCACCACCUUUAGCUACACCAUUGAUCACACUUGCAUCUGUGUUAAGUUUGUACGACCCUCUAGGCGGCUUCAUCCAUGAUAUAGCCUUCAGACAGAAGGAUUUGGCUGGCUUGAGCCGGAAAAACCGUGCAAAAUACGUAUCCAUAUCCCCCUCCAACUGCGCUUUGUUUAACAUACAUGCUGCCCCCUUAGCAACCAACCACCCAUUGGCUUCGAAGAUAACUUGGGAAUGGACAGGGUGAAGAUUUUCAAACCGGGCAUCAUUUCUACUACGCCAUAGAAACCAUAACACCACUACCGGUAUUACACACCGAACAUGAUCCAAUCGGCCAUUGCUAGAUGAUUGAAACCACACCACAAGCAGUGAAGAAACACAUGAGAAUGAACGCCACUGAAUUCCGCAAGCCAGAAAGAAAUGCUGCCAAACAGCACUGGCUACCCUGCCAUGUAAGAAAAUAUGAUUCAAGGAUUCUACCGCAUUACCACAGCAAUCACACUUAGAAACCAAGGCCAUUCCUCUAGACCGGAGCUUAUCAUCCAGAGGGAGAAAAUCAGACAACACCCUCCAAGCUAAAUACGACAUUUUUAACGGAAGUAACGGACACCAAAUUCCACGGCAAACCAAAGACGUGUUGCGCCGCUGCCGAACUAGUUCCCAGGCUGACGACACAGAAAAUGCACCAUCAGCGGAAGGAGCCCAAAUUAACUCGUCCUUAAGCUUCGGAUCUACAAGUGUUUGGGAAAUAAUAUUAACAAUAGAUCGUGGAAGAACCUGGAGGAGACGAUCAGUAUUCCACCCCGUAGAGGUGUAAAACUCAGCUACCAAAAAGUGAGGAGGCGAACCAGAAACCUGGCUGCUAAGUGGUUCAUUGAAAAGCCAUCGAUCAUACCACAAAUCGAUGAAGCCUUCACCGAGCCGCCAACGAAUGUUAUCUUCAGUGAUCGCCCGCACCAAACAGACCCUCUUCCAUGUUGCCGACCCCACAGCUGCCGAAGCCGAACCUGGAUGUUGCUCGCCAAUGUACUUACGGUGCAUAAAUCUGGCCCAAGGAGAGCUCUUUUGACGUAUUGUCCACCAUAGUUUCAUUGCAAAAGCCCUCUCCAAAUCCAAAAGAGACCGAAACCCCAAUCCCCCUUCUUCCACUGGAAAGCAGACUUUUUCCCAAGAGGACCAAUGAAUCCUCCUACCAUCCUUGCCAUCCCACAGAAAGGCGUUAAACAGCUUGCCCAAUCUAAUAAAGACCCCCUUAGGUGGUUUAGUAACCUGCAGGAGGUAAAGAGGCAUUGAACUCAACACAUGACGAAUCAAUAUGAGUUUCCCCCCAGCAGACAGAAACCGGGAACUCCAAUGAUGAAGCUUUGCUCUCACGGAGGCAAUUACUCCAUCAAACAAGACAGUUUUGCUACGGCCAAGAGAAAGCGGGACUCCCAAGUAUUUGACAGGCCAAGGCUGCCCUUGAAACCCCGUUUCUUGCUGAAUUAAUUGGAUAACCUCCGAAGAGAGCUUCGACGAACACAGAAAGCGACUCUUAGAGAGAUUAAUUUUUUGGCCAGAGAGAGCUUGAUAGUCGUGUAGAAAGGACGAUACCGCCUGUAAGCAUUCAGUCGAUGCCCGGGUGAAAAUAAUCACGUCAUCGGCAAACGCAAGAAAUGGGACCAUCCCUCCCUUAGUCAAAAAUCUAAACGCUGGAUUGUUAGAAAACAGCCGUUGAAGACCCCUUCCAAGAAAUUCCGAGACAAAAAGGAAGAGAGUGGACGAUAACGGAUCCCCCUGGCGAACCCCUCUAGUCGACUUGAAAAAGCCGGUGAGUUCUCCAUUAACCAGGACAGAAAACCAGACGUUGGAUACCAACCGAAAAACCAGAUCCACUACCCCUUCUUUAAAACCAAAUUCUCGCAGCAUAUAUAACAAAAACCCCCAGUCCACACUGUCAUACGCCUUCUCCAUAUCCAACUUCAAGAUUACAUUAGGGUGACGCAGCUUUUUGUCCAAAUCCAGAAUCAAUUCCUGAGCAAGCAAAACAUUAUCUUGUAUUCCCCUGCCCGGAAUAAAACCAGUCUGAAACUCUAAAAUCAACCUAGGAAGGAGCUGGUUGAUACGGGUGGACAAAACCUUAGAAAUGAUCUUGGCACUAACAUUAGCUAAACUUAUUGGUCGGAAAUCUUUCCACUCACAAGCGCCUUCCCUCUUGGGGAGUAAAAUGAUCGUCGUACUGGAAAAUCCGCGUGGCAUUGUGGCACCAGCAAAAAAAUCCUGCACCCCGUCCAUGAAGUCAUCUCUUAUACACUCCCAACAACUUUGAUAAAAACCCCCGCCAAACCCAUCAGGCCCCGCAGCGCUCUGAGGAUCCAUUGAGCACACCACAGUAUAAACCUCAUCCACCGAUGGAGAUUUCAGCAGCAUGUCAUUCUCUUCUGGCGUAAGCUUAGGCAGCUCAAGCGAAGGCCUGCUCCCUGAACGAACAUCGCGGUCUGCUGUGAACAAAGAGGAGAAAAAAUCAGACGCUGACAGUUUAAUAUCCUCGAUAUUAUCAAGCCAACUGUCCCCGGGGCCCCUAAUUCGUGCAAUAAAAUUAGGGCUGCGUUUCUGCUUAACCGUUGCAUGGAAAAAAGAAGUAUUCGCGUCGCCCUCUUUGAUCCAUUUGAUUGCUGCCUUCUGUCUCCAGAAGUCACAUUCUAAGGCUAGCUCCCGAGAAUGGAGUGCCCGCGCCUCAUGUACUGCCGACCUAGACAACACGUCCCUAUUUUGAUCAUACAACAAUUCCUUGGCCAAUAGAUUAUCCGCUGCCACUUUGACCCGUUGAGAGACAUUCCCAAAAACAUCCACAUUCCAUCCAGCUAAGACUCGCUUAACCACCUUCAACUUAUUAAAAAAUUUCUGCAUUCCCAUUCCAGGAACAGGUUGAGCCCAAGCAGACUUAACUGUUUGUUGAAAAGUAGGAUGACUCCGCCAAACAUUAAGAAAGCGAAAGGACGACCGCCGCCUUGCCAUGCUGCCUCCCUUAACCAGCAACGGACAGUGAUCAGAUCGCCCUCGCUGAAGAUGAGCAACUCGAGUCAGCUCAAUAGAAGACAGCCAACCAGCAUUAACAACCGCUCGAUCAAUCCGCUGCCACAUACGCCCAUUAGUCCAUGUGUAGGCAGACCCAUCAAACGGUACCGGAAAUAGUCCACUCCGAUUUAAUGCAGAGUUAAAUUCUGCCAGGUCACGAAUAUUCGGGGCUGAACCUCCAAUCCUUUCUUCAACAGAAGAAAUAACAUUGUAAUCCCCUACGGCCAUCCAUGGGAGUGUAACAGACGUUGAAAAAUGCUCCAGAGCCUCCCAUAACUGUCGCCUACCAAUUCUGUUACACCGCGCGUAAACAGCAGAAAUAAAAAUGGAAGAACCAGAGGGGAAAGACACAUGUAUGUGGACCACCUGAUCCGCAGCUUCUACAAAAGAAUAUCGCGCAUCUGAACACCAGAAAAUCCAAAUUUUGUUGUGCAAGAAGGACUGCGCAAAAUCAAAACCCAAGAACAGCUGCACACUAUCCAAAUGGGAGACAUUAGCUAAUGGCUCCAAUAGGAUCAGUAAACGAAUAUCGUUUGAUCUACAAGCGCUACGAAUGUGCCUCAAUGACUCCUUAUUCGCAGCACCCCGAAUGUUCCACACUAUAAACUUAAUCGGAUCUAACAUUAUGGGACCGAAGGUUAUAAGGAGCAGCUGAAGGCUUACCGUCUCUUUUUGUAGUCUGCCUACCACGAGUCUUGUGACCUUGAACCAAAUUCUGCAGCAAUUGUGUGUCAGUAUCAUCCAGAAGAGCUCCAGGGACACCCGGGUCGUCGCUUAACUUAGAUGCUGCAAUUCUGCUGACCAGCCGAUCCCUAAAAUUUUUUAACUCAUCCAAAGAGAUACCUUUCAACCCUAACUGUCCCUCAGAGUUAUAGCGCACUAGACGAGCAUGACCUUCAUACCGUCGAGGAGAAAGGGAACAAGCCCGCUCGCGCUGCAGCAUUGAAGGCACAGAUUUAGUCAGCAAAAGAUCAUCUCGACCGAAAGAAGGAAUUGUGGCGGAUAAAGCUUUAACCGGAGAAGAAGAAUUCGGGGGAUAACAAGUCAGUACUGAGAGAUCAUUCUGUGUAGUCGCAGCACCCCCCCGAUAUGAAUCAGGGAGAACGGGAUCCUGAGCAUGAACAUUAGUCUGUGUAGGGUUACCCCUAGCAGGGGUAGACGAUGAUGAUGGAAUAACAGUAAUAGAGACAUCUGCAGUGGGAAUACUGCUUUCCUGCACUUGUACCCUUGGGGCUGUCACGACCCCCGAAUCCACCACAGGAGGAGAUUCUUCGACAGCCGGUCCUCUUUUCGGUUGAAAGACUUGCCUGCCUUGAGACGGAACCGGUGGUCUAGCGCGUCGCACAGGCCGCAAUUCCGGAUGCUUCUGAUGACAGGUACUUUCGACAUGACCAAUGGACGAGCAAAAACCGCAGUACGAAGGAUAGUCUUCAUACUCAAUCUUCUGCCAAAAACCCCACUGAUCAUCCCCUAUCCAAAUCCUGGAUCUUGGAGAAUUCAAUACAUCAACUUCCAACAAUAUUCGCGCUACAGACGGACGCUUCAGCGCUGCCGUAGCUUCAUCCACCUUUAAUGGUCGGCCCAGUAAGUUACCCAGCUUAAGCAGAAACUGCUUUUCAAAAAACGGCAAUGGAAGACCUGGGAAAUUGACCCAAACUGGUGCGAUGGACGACUCCGCUCCCGGCUUAAAAUCGAUUGUCCAUUUCGACAGAGACAUAUGGAAUUUGCCGAUGUACCAAGACUUUCGACACCAGAGUCUGGUGUAAUCCUCCUCCACGGAAGGUCGUAAGAGAAUAUGCUUGGAAUCUAAUAACCCUAUCGGACACUCACCCUUCAGCCCCAAAGAAACAACAAAUUUGCGAAUAGUCUCCAUGGAAGGCCGACCAACGGCAAACCUGCCAACCAGUGCAUUAGAAUAAGGUGCCGCUAUCUGUAACAUAUCUUGACGGGAGAUCACCAACGAAGGCUCCCCCUUGUAAGUACUGAGAUGGCCAAUGCCAGAGGACGAAGAAGACGGAGAUUGAGCCAGAACGGAGGCAAACGUCUUCGAAGGACGACCAAGAAGCGGCGCCUCCCCAUGUUGGGGAGCCGCCAUGAAACCCUACUAACCUUGCAAAGCCCGAAAAAAAUGGUGAGGAAGCCCGAUUCUAGAGAGAAAGCCCGAUUCUAGAGAGGAAGCCCGAUGUUCCUUUCUUCCCGUCUAUACUUCCUUAUUUAUUGUAAAUUUUAAUUUAUUAAUUUUCUUCUUUAUAUAUAGUUACAUCGUUUAUUUAUUGCCAUUACUAAAAUAUAAUUACAUCGUCUAUAUGUAGUUACAUUGUUUAUUUAUUUCCAUUGCUAAAAUAUGAACAAACUUUUAUUUUUUAAUCAUUCUAUACUUUAUAAAUUUCAAUCUAUUAAUUCCUUGCUUUAUAUAUGUUUACAUUGAUUAUAUCUUUCUUGAUUUUUUAGUCAGUGAACGCAUAAUUUUUCUUUUUUUAAUUUUCUUCAAUUAUGUUUACUCUAUCUCUAGUAUUAUACAUCGUCUAUAUAUAGUUACAUUGUUUAUUUAUUUCCAUUGCUAAAAUAUGAACAAACUUUUAUUUUUUAAUCAUUCUAUACUUUAUAAAUUUCAAUCUAUUAAUUCCCUGCUUUAUAUAUGUUUACAUUGAUUAUAUCUUUCUUGAUUUUUUAGUCAGUGAACGCAUAAUUUUUCUUUUUUUAAUUUUCUUCAAUUAUGUUUACUCUAUCUCUAGUAUUAUACUUUAUUAUUUAUUUCAAAAGUUUUGACAUUUUUCAUUUUUUAAUGAAUCUGUAUUACACAAUUUUAGCAUAUUAUGCAUACAAGUCCAUUUAAAUUUUUGAAAACUCCAUUUAAAUUUAAUAAAUAGUCAUUCUUUGCUAAAAUAUUCAAUUAAUUUUUAUACUCUCUUCAUUCAAAUCCAAUUUAGGCCAAAGUAGUUUUUUUAUAACAUUGAGUUGUAAAAGUUCUCCCAAACUACUUUUUUUAGUUUUAAAUAAUUUGAGCAAAUAAUAAGUUCAUCAUCUCUUUAGUUUACAUUUAAAAUUCUUUUUAGUCAUAAGAGAAUCAAAUGAUUAAUUGCACUUAUUUCCUAACAUAUCUCUUUCACUCAUACAUUGACUUGCCACCAUUAAUUAGAGUAAACAUAAUUGAAUUACGGGAUAAGAUUUUUUUUUUUUAGACAACUUCUUUUUUUUUAAAAAAUAAAAAUUUUAUUGCUGCAACCAACAAACAUACCCAGAUCGGGUCCAACCCAUUUCCAGGAGUACAAAUUCAAAACCCUGACCAAACCCACCACCCCCUACCGCCGGCACCUACGAAAGCUUGGGAACCCGUACACGUCCAAGGUAAUGUACCCCCUCACCAACCUCGGUAAAGCACUAUAAGUCUCAUAAAUGAUAGUAUGCCCAUCCUCCACUCCAGCGUUAGACAACCUGUCCGCCGGCUUGUUUGCCUCCCGAUAGCAAUGAGACACGGCUUCAAAAUACCGUCCAUAUUGCUGCAGCUCUCGUAGCUCCUUCUGCAAUCGCCAAGGACAUCUAACCUUCUCCUGAAUAAUCCAGACCAACACCAUUGAGUCAGACUCCAGAUGCAACCUAACUAAACCACGGGAUACACCUAAUCGAACACCAAAGAGAAGCGCUUUGAGUUCCGCUUGAAGGCUCGUAGCCUCCCCAAAAGAGCACGAGAAGCCAAGCAGGAACCUCCCCUCAGAAUCCCUGAACAAACCCCCACCGCCACUCCUCCCCGGAUUACCUCUUGAGCAACCAUCGGCAUUCAGUUUCACUACCGUCUGAGUCGGACCUUCCCAACGAAACUCCCGUUUAAUAACCUUGCAUCGCAGCCUAAAUAUCAUUUCAAAAAAAUCAAUUUGUGAACUACAAGGCAGAGGUAUCUCUCGAAACUGGAGACAGACGCAUUCUCUCAGCUCCAAGAAAAUCCGAUCACAAACAUGCACUACCGAGUCUAGCUUUCCCUCAAAGAUCCACAUAUUCCGCAUCUUCCAUAAAUUCCAACAAAUUAACGAUGGCAAUAUGCGGAGAACGAAACCAAGGUAUGGAUUAAUAUUAGGCUUAACCCACCAACUCAUCACUUUAUGUCUAAUCGUGAGAUAAGAUUCACUUGGAACUAAUUAUUAAGUUGUUAUACAACUAAUUAUUAAGUUAUUGUAAAUUAACCAUUAUUAAUAUGUUUAAUUUUAAUGUUUGCCUUACAAUAAAUACAUCAAAUUUUAUAAAAUAGCAUUUUAAGCUCUUUUAUAAUAAAAAAUAAAAAUUAUAGAACAUAAAAUAGUGCCCGUGCAAAUGCAUGAAAAAGAAACUAAUUGCUAAAUAAAAUUUGAAUAAUGUGGUCAUAUGAAAAGUUUCCAACCUAAAUGCAAUUAGGAGUAUCAGGUUUGUAAUGCAAGAUUAAGAAAAGCCUCGUGUUUAAAAAUAAUUGAUUCAAGGAUAUGACAUUGUGAGUGCCAAAAAGAUAUUAAUAAUGGUUUUGAGUUGGAAACCUCAACUUUAAUUCAUAAAGAAUGGAAAAAUGCAUAAAUGCGAACAAAAUGGUGAUACAAUCCACAUUUUGUAACCCAAAAAAGUAUUCACCAAGAAGUUCUGGCAGAAGAUUUUGAUAAAUAGCUCAAUGAACCAAAAUUAUCCCUUAGUCUAGCUAUAACAAGCAACUUGCACAUAAUGAGAAAGAAAAAACUAAACUUACAUAAGAGUAAAAUACUGAAACAUGAUUCUGAUGUCAUUGGGUUGAAACAUAUGUUUGCAGCUUUUAUAUUCUAACUGUUAAUGUCCAAUUCUAUCUAAUUAUUAUGCCUAGUAUGAUAAAACUAGCACAUGGGACAUUGUAGUGCUGAAUGUAAUUCAAACACGAGAUGUACCAUAGCACUUUUUCAUUUGGUUUUUUUAAUGGCACUAUAAGUAAUUCAAACCUACGGUGAAACUCGAGAAUGACAGAUAUGAUAAGUUAGGAAAAUUAGAUUUGCAAAUAAUGGAAAAAAAAGCACCUAAAUAUUUCAAAGUACUUUACACAUGGCAAUGAAAAUUUUCUGCCAUAAAAAAAGUUUACAAUCCAAAAACGUAGUUAAGUUAUUUAUUCAACGUGUUCAAAAUGCUAAUAUAUGCCACAAAAGGAAAAAAAAUUGCAUUCCAUACGAGAAAUUAUACAUAUUUCAUUGUGGAAUUAAGAAAAAAAAAAGAGUAGAAAAGAACUUGAAACUCAAACAUAUAAAUGCAUUCAUAGAGCUCAAACUGGAUGGAUAACAACGAUAAAGUAUGAUGACUUAAAAACAAUUCUGCCGACAAGUAAAUGACAUACAAAAUAGUUUAUUCUCAAUUAAUUUUUUAUGAUCUCUAUUUGCGAAUAGCUUUUGGCUUUAGAUUCUCCUUAGUGCUUUUAGUUGGAGAUAUAAUGUUAUUCAUGACUUACCAAAUCACAAGACUAUUCCUCCAAAGUUGCAUUUAAUGUCAUUCCACAUAUUUAGGAUCUAAAUGCAAAGAGAUUACUUUAAACUCAUUUUCGAUGAUCUGGACUAUAGGUUAAACAAAAUUUUUUCAGUCACCGGAAAAUGCACUGUGGGAGUAAUAGAUAUGAAUUAAAUGCCUUUUUUCAUGUAGGUAAUAAAAAUCGGUGCAAAAUGCUUCAAGAAAAGAUGUAACAAUCCUUUAUUUGGAUAGCUAAAUGACUAUUCUUAAAAGUUUAAAGAGCAAUUUUCUACAAUUAAUGGUAAUAUAAUUUGUAAUCGUAUUUGUGAGAGGAAAAUUUGAAGCUUGUGCUUUUGUUGUAUUAUAAAUUUAAUCACAACUUCUAACCAAAUUUAUUUUAACAACACAAAUAAAAAUCGUACUUGGUUAAAUAUUGAAUUCCGCUAUAUAAGAUUUUUGUAAUACUAACAAUAGUUGUUCUUGUAAUGACAACUAACAAUGGAAUAUAUUAUUUUGUUCGCUAAAUAAUAUUAGCUGAUUAUAUACGUGCAUAGCACAUGAUUUUUUCUAGUAAUUUGAAGUGUUCUAGAGAUACCAUUAGGAAUAAAGUUUACGAAAUGUGGCAUGAGCAGGUGAGCUUUGUCCGAUCUUUUAGGUUGGUAUAGUUCUUAUUAUUGGUAAACCCUAUUAAUUCUUUUUAAACAAACUUACUGCUUCAUUAGAUAAAAACUACGAUACAUUUGGCAAAUUCUACUAGUUUCCCAUUUAAAUGAGAUUCACAAUCUGGAAAAUCAUUUUUAUUUUUUUUUAUAAUCUCCCCGCAAUUUACAAUGAGUUCAGAGUGCUACCUUUGGUCAAUUUAGAAGAAUUUCCAUAAAGUCAUAAAAUAUCACAUAAGCAUUUUCAGAAGUAAUGUGACAAUCUUUUUAAAACGGCAUUGUGUGUCACUUGUCACCCGUUUCGAUGUUCCAUUGCCAUUGGAUGCAUUUCUAAGGCCUCGCUUGAAUAGUUAAAUUAAUUUAUGUUUCUUUUUUCUCAAGCCCUAAAUAUAAAUUUAAAAUAACCUAAUCAACAAUAUAAAGCAAACAAUUUAGUAGAGUGAAAUGAAAAGAACUCUGAAACACAUAAUGUAGUCAUAAUCGGCGUUUUACAACGCCUUUUUUUAUUUUUUCAAUUUUUUUUCUUUUUUUUGGGUUUUUUGUUUUGACUUUGAUGUACCCCUAACUAUUACACAUAGAUAAAAAGGAAAGAGAGAAAUUUACUACAUAAGACCCUAUGUAGCACGAAAAAACAAAGUAGACCCUGCACUGAAAACAUUAGCAGACACAACUACUGAUAAUCAUAGACUGAAUGGACACCAUUUUAUUUUGUUUUUCCUUUUUUUCAAUUUUUUUUUCUUUUAUUGCGGUACCAAACGACUGAAGGAUGAUGGUAAUGAGUGCAUCCACCCUAAUUAGGGCGAAUUUCGAUGCCCUUGAUAAUAAUGCCAGACUUCCAGAUUGUAUCACUGGUUUGAAAAAUCCUAGCUUCUACCGUGGAACUUCUUCCGCGGUUGUUGACGAAGUCACCCAAGUUCAAUUCCUUCCAUCCAUCACUACGGGUUUGAGGAUAUAUGCCCGGAUCCUUCGAAUCUUGUGACUUGUCAAUGAACACACUAUAGCCUUCGUCAUCAGUUCCCUUAGCCUUUUCUUCAGUAAAUCUAACCGAUGCAGUUGCUUUUUCAAGUCCCUUUGGCUUGGCAUUAAGUUUGAACACGAGAUAUGUCAAAUAGGAACUGCCCCUUGGGAGGUCCCUAGCAGGCACACUGGUUCGAAUGUCAAACCAGCAAACUUCAACAAGCUCGGCAACCUCGAAGCUGUACAAAGGCAUUAAAAUCAGUUUAGGAUAAUCUUCGAAAGUCAUCAACUAACUAAAGGGAGAAAGUGAGAUAAUAAUAUAAAUGCAAUAGGACUAUAUACAGGACGGGUAU